AAUGAACGCUGGCGGCAUGCCUAACACAUGCAAGUCGAACGAAGGCUUCGGCCUUAGUGGCGCACGGGUGCGUAACGCGUGGGAAUCUGCCCUCAGGUUCGGAAUAACAGCGAGAAAUUGCUGCUAAUACCGGAUGAUAUCGCGAGAUCAAAGAUUUAUCGCCUGAGGAUGAGCCCGCGUAGGAUUAGCUAGGUGGUGUGGGAAAGGCGCACCAAGGCGACGAUACUUAGCUGGUCUGAAAGGAUGAUCAGCCACACUGGGACUGAGACACGGCCCAGACUCCUACGGGAGGCGGCAGUGGGGAAUAUUGGACAAUGGGCGAAAGCCUGAUCCAGCAAUGCCGCGUGAGUGAUGAAGGCCUUAGGGUUGUAAAGCUCUUUUACCCGGGAUGAUAAUGACAGUACCGGGAGAAUAAGCUCCGGCUAACUCCGUGCCAGCCGCCGCGGUAA
This 449-nucleotide ribosomal RNA is filed under the name uncultured bacterium. RNAcentral's name for it is "partial 16S ribosomal RNA". It matches the Rfam family "Bacterial small subunit ribosomal RNA", at positions 29 to 523 of the family's 1533-position model. The record is from RNAcentral.